AGAACGAACGCUGGCGGCAUGCCUAAUACAUGCAAGUCGAACGAACACUUCGGUGUUAGUGGCGCACGGGUGCGUAACGCGUGGGAAUCUGCCCUUGGGUUCGGAAUAACAGUUGGAAACGACUGCUAAUACCGGAUGAUAUCGAAAGAUCAAAGAUUUAUCGCCCAGGGAUGAGCCCGCGUAGGAUUAGCUAGUUAGUGAGGUAAAGGCUCACCAAGGCGACGAUCCUUAGCUGGUCUGAGAGGAUGAUCAGCCACACUGGGACUGAGACACGGCCCAGACUCCUACGGGAGGCAGCAGUAGGGAAUAUUGGACAAUGGGCGCAAGCCUGAUCCAGCAAUGCCGCGUGAGUGAUGAAGGCCUUAGGGUGUAAAGCUCUUUUACCCGAGAUGAUAAUGACAGUAGUCGGGAAGAAGUAACGCCCCGGUACUAACCGUCCCGACGCCAGCCACGCCGAC
Molecule: ribosomal RNA, 458 nt
Filed under: uncultured soil bacterium
Lineage: Bacteria
Description: bacterial SSU rRNA
Rfam family: Bacterial small subunit ribosomal RNA
Source: RNAcentral